Molecule: ribosomal RNA, 255 nt
Filed under: uncultured bacterium
Lineage: Bacteria
Description: partial 16S ribosomal RNA
Rfam family: Bacterial small subunit ribosomal RNA
Source: RNAcentral
GCAAGUCGAACGAGAACGGAUUUUAGUUUACUAAAAUUGUCAGCUAAGUGGCGCACGGGUGAGUAAUAUAUAGUUAAUCUACCCCAAAGAAGAGAAUAAUUGUUGGAAACGACUUGUAAUGCUCUAUAUGCCUUUAUCACAUAAGUGAGCAAGGGAAAUAUUUAUAGCUUUGGGAUGAGACUGUACGGUAGCAGAUAGUGGGUGAGGUAAUGGCUCACAAAGUCAAUGACGCCUAACUGGUUUGAGAGGAUGAGC